CCUACGGGUGGCAGCAGUGGGGGAUAUUGCACAAUGGGGGAAACCCUGAUGCAGCGACGCCGCGUGGGCGAAGAAGUAUUUCGGUAUGUAAAGCCCUAUCGGCAGGGAAGAAGAAGGACGGUACCUGACUAAGAAGCCCCGGCUAACUACGUGCCAGCAGCCGCGGUAAUACGUAGGGGGCAAGCGUUAUCCGGAUUUACUGGGUGUAAAGGGGGCGCAGACGGCAGCGCAAGCCAGGAGUGAAAGCCCGGGGCCCAACCCCGGGACGGCUCUUGGAACUGCGCGGCUGGAGUGCAGGAGGGGCAGGCGGAAUUCCUGGUGUAGCGGUGAAAUGCGUAGAUAUCAGGAGGAACACCGGUGGCGAAGGCGGCCUGCUGGACUGCGACUGACGUUGAGGCCCGAAAGCGUGGGGAGCAAACAGGAUUAGAUACCCCUGUAGUC
RNAcentral lists this ribosomal RNA (441 nucleotides) under uncultured bacterium. RNAcentral's name for it is "partial 16S ribosomal RNA". It matches the Rfam family "Bacterial small subunit ribosomal RNA", at positions 338 to 795 of the family's 1533-position model. The record is from RNAcentral.